Molecule: long non-coding RNA, 529 nt
Filed under: Mus spicilegus (steppe mouse)
Lineage: Eukaryota; Metazoa; Chordata; Mammalia; Rodentia; Muridae
Description: lncRNA (ENSMSIG00000027212.1)
Source: RNAcentral
UUCUCAUCUGCCUUUGAUUUAAGUCAUUUACUCUUUGAAGAUAAGUGGUGGUCCACCUCACUUGUAUAAGUUUGUAGCAAAUAAAAUCACACUUUUACUUUGGAUGUAGCUGACUGAUACCUAUUGUUGUGGUCUUCAGGGAUCCUCCCAUGGAGUCAGAAGGGUUCCGUUAAGCACUGUCUCAUGCCAGCAUUUUCCUGGACUUGCUUUCCGCCAAAGACUAUGACACUCUCUGAUUAUUUCAUUCAACCUUGAGCAAGAUCUACUGGCCCUUCUCCAGACUAUGGUCCAUGAUGCUAUCACAUGUUGUAAAAGGAAGAACCAAAGGUCAUGAAUUGAGGCUGAAUCCCAGAAUCCUGUUGUUGAAGGAGAAGAGCCUGACCUGGAAGGUAUUUUAUCAUAGCAACAGAAAUUAACCCAGGACAGCAGGAUAUCAUUCAGUGCUCCUUCUGGGUUGGGUGUUUUCUGGUGAGUAUCUGCAUGAGAUAGCAAAAUUUAUGUGCUAUGCUUCUACUUUUUAGUGUGCCUA